UACAGAGGUGGCAAGCGUUGUUCGGAAUUACUGGGCGUAAAGGGCGCGUAGGCGGCCUCCUAAGUCAGACGUGAAAUCCCCCGGCUUAACCUGGGAACUGCGUCUGAUACUGGGAGGCUAGAGUGCGGGAGAGGGAUGCGGAAUUCCAGGUGUAGCGGUGAAAUGCGUAGAGAUGUGGAGGAACACCAGUGGCGAAGGCGGCUUUCUGGUCUGUAACUGACGCUGAGGCGCGAAAGCGUGGGGAGCAAACAGG
Molecule: ribosomal RNA, 253 nt
Filed under: uncultured bacterium
Lineage: Bacteria
Description: partial 16S ribosomal RNA
Rfam family: Bacterial small subunit ribosomal RNA
Source: RNAcentral